Molecule: ribosomal RNA, 376 nt
Filed under: uncultured bacterium
Lineage: Bacteria
Description: bacterial SSU rRNA
Rfam family: Bacterial small subunit ribosomal RNA
Source: RNAcentral
UAAUACGAAGGGGGCUAGCGUUGCUCGGAAUUACUGGGCGUAAAGGGCGCGUAGGCGGCGUGAUCAGUCAGGCGUGAAAUUCCUGGGCUUAACCUGGGGGCUGCGCUUGAUACGGUUGUGCUAGAGGAUGGAAGAGGCUCGUGGAAUUCCCAGUGUAGAGGUGAAAUUCGUAGAUAUUGGGAAGAACACCGGUGGCGAAGGCGGCGAGCUGGUCCAUUACUGACGCUGAGGCGCGAAAGCGUGGGGAGCAAACAGGAUUAGAUACCCUGGUAGUCCACGCUGUAAACGAUGUGCGCUGGAUGUUGGGUGACCUAGUCACUCAGUGUCGUAGCUAACGCGGUAAGCGCACCGCCUGGGGAGUACGGCCGCAAGGUUG